Molecule: ribosomal RNA, 1314 nt
Filed under: uncultured Microbacterium sp.
Lineage: Bacteria; Bacillati; Actinomycetota; Actinomycetes; Micrococcales; Microbacteriaceae
Description: bacterial SSU rRNA
Rfam family: Bacterial small subunit ribosomal RNA
Source: RNAcentral
GAUCAGUGGCGAACGGGUGAGUAACACGUGAGCAAUCUGCCCCUGACUCUGGGAUAAGCGCUGGAAACGGCGUCUAAUACUGGAUACGAACCGUGGAGGCAUCUUCAACGGUUGGAAAGAUUUUUUGGUCAGGGAUGAGCUCGCGGCCUAUCAGCUUGUUGGUGAGGUAAUGGCUCACCAAGGCGUCGACGGGUAGCCGGCCUGAGAGGGUGACCGGCCACACUGGGACUGAGACACGGCCCAGACUCCUACGGGAGGCAGCAGUGGGGAAUAUUGCACAAUGGGCGAAAGCCUGAUGCAGCAACGCCGCGUGAGGGAUGACGGCCUUCGGGUUGUAAACCUCUUUUAGCAGGGAAGAAGCGAAAGUGACGGUACCUGCAGAAAAAGCGCCGGCUAACUACGUGCCAGCAGCCGCGGUAAUACGUAGGGCGCAAGCGUUAUCCGGAAUUAUUGGGCGUAAAGAGCUCGUAGGCGGUUUGUCGCGUCUGCUGUGAAAUCCCGAGGCUCAACUUCGGGUCUGCAGUGGGUACGGGCAGACUAGAGUGCGGUAGGGGAGAUUGGAAUUCCUGGUGUAGCGGUGGAAUGCGCAGAUAUCAGGAGGAACACCGAUGGCGAAGGCAGAUCUCUGGGCCGUAACUGACGCUGAGGAGCGAAAGGGUGGGGAGCAAACAGGCUUAGAUACCCUGGUAGUCCACCCCGUAAACGUUGGGAACUAGUUGUGGGGUCCAUUCCACGGAUUCCGUGACGCAGCUAACGCAUUAAGUUCCCCGCCUGGGGGAGUACGGGCCGCAAGGCUAAAACUCAAAGGAAUUGACGGGGACCCGCACAAGCGGCGGAGCAUGCGGAUUAAUUCGAUGCAACGCGAAGAACCUUACCAAGGCUUGACAUAUACGAGAACGCUGCAGAAAUGUAGAACUCUUUGGACACUCGUAAACAGGUGGUGCAUGGUUGUCGUCAGCUCGUGUCGUGAGAUGUUGGGUUAAGUCCCGCAACGAGCGCAACCCUCGUUCUAUGUUGCCAGCACGUAAUGGUGGGAACUCAUGGGAUACUGCCGGGGUCAACUCGGAGGAAGGUGGGGAUGACGUCAAAUCAUCAUGCCCCUUAUGUCUUGGGCUUCACGCAUGCUACAAUGGCCGGUACAAAGGGCUGCAAUACCGUGAGGUGGAGCGAAUCCCAAAAAGCCGGUCCCAGUUCGGAUUGAGGUCUGCAACUCGACCUCAUGAAGUCGGAGUCGCUAGUAAUCGCAGAUCAGCAACGCUGCGGUGAAUACGUUCCCGGGUCUUGUACACACCGCCCGUCAAGUCAUGAAAGUCG